AGGCCACACUGACCAGAGACCUGCACUCCUUUGGAUGAAGAAGGCUACCCGUGUAUACAUGUGUGAACCAUUUCUUGUGUUGGAAAAACAGGAGACCUGAAGAGCUCUUGAUGCUUUUGGUUUGCCUCAUCCAUUAUGUCAGCAAAGAACAGGAGUGGGCAGGAAACAUGCGCUGUUGAAAACAUGGCCAACCAACUGGAGCACCCACAAGGCUCUUGUGAAGGAAGUCCACAAGCCUUUGUGCUUCAGUUUGGAGACACCCCCGGCUGGUAGUGCUGCUGAAACUGGUGGAGGCAACAAUGAAGCGGCAACAGAAAGAGAAGGCAGGUGGCAAAG
This is a long non-coding RNA of Alosa alosa (allis shad), 336 nucleotides long. RefSeq lists it as uncharacterized. The transcript is spliced from 3 exons. The record is from RefSeq and is a predicted model, not a curated record. Lineage: Eukaryota; Metazoa; Chordata; Actinopteri; Clupeiformes; Clupeidae.